This 251-nucleotide ribosomal RNA is filed under the name uncultured bacterium. RNAcentral's name for it is "partial 16S ribosomal RNA". It matches the Rfam family "Bacterial small subunit ribosomal RNA", at positions 525 to 775 of the family's 1533-position model. The record is from RNAcentral.
ACGUAUGGUGCAAGCGUUAUCCGGAUUUACUGGGUGUAAAGGGUGCGUAGGUGGCAAGGCAAGUCUGAAGUGAAAAUCCGGGGCUCAACCCCGGAACUGCUUUGGAAACUGUUUAGCUAGAGUACAGGAGAGGUAAGUGGAAUUCCUAGUGUAGCGGUGAAAUGCGUAGAUAUUAGGAGGAACACCAGUGGCGAAGGCGACUUACUGGACUGCUACUGACACUGAGGCACGAAAGCGUGGGGAGCAAACAG